This 468-nucleotide ribosomal RNA is filed under the name uncultured bacterium. RNAcentral describes it as "partial 16S ribosomal RNA". It matches the Rfam family "Bacterial small subunit ribosomal RNA", at positions 28 to 507 of the family's 1533-position model. The record is from RNAcentral.
GACGAACGCUGGCGGCGUGCUUAACACAUGCAAGUCGAACGGAAAGGCCCUGCUUUUGUGGGGUGCUCGAGUGGCGAACGGGUGAGUAACACGUGAGUAACCUGCCCUUGACUUUGGGAUAACUUCAGGAAACUGGGGCUAAUACCGGAUAGGAGCUCCUGCUGCAUGGUGGGGGAUGGAAAGUGUCGGCGGUUGGGGAUGGACUCGCGGCUUAUCAGCUUGUUGGUGGGGUAGUGGCUUACCAAGGCUUUGACGGGUAGCCGGCCUGAGAGGGUGACCGGCCACAUUGGGCCUGAGAUACGGCCCAGACUCCUACGGGCGGCAGCAGUGGGGAAUAUUGCGCAAUGGGCGGAAGCCUGAUGCAGCAACGCCGCGUGCGGGAUGACGGCCUUCGGGUUGUAAACCGCUUUCGCCUGUGACGAAGCGUGAGUGACGGUAAUGGGUAAAGAAGCACCGGCUAACUACGUG